RNAcentral lists this ribosomal RNA (602 nucleotides) under uncultured bacterium. RNAcentral's name for it is "bacterial SSU rRNA". It matches the Rfam family "Bacterial small subunit ribosomal RNA", at positions 9 to 658 of the family's 1533-position model. The record is from RNAcentral.
GAGUUUGAUCCUGGCUCAGAAUGAACGCUGGCGGCAUGCCUAACACAUGCAAGUCGAACGAAGGCUUCGGCCUUAGUGGCGCACGGGUGCGUAACGCGUGGGAAUCUGCCCUCAGGUUCGGAAUAACAGCGAGAAAUUGCUGCUAAUACCGGAUGAUAUCGCGAGAUCAAAGAUUUAUCGCCUGAGGAUGAGCCCGCGUAGGAUUAGCUAGUUGGUGUGGUAAAGGCGCACCAAGGCGACGAUCCUUAGCUGGUCUGAGAGGAUGAUCAGCCACACUGGGACUGAGACACGGCCAGACUCCUACGGGAGGCAGCAGUGGGGAAUAUUGGACAAUGGGCGAAAGCCUGAUCCAGCAAUGCCGCGUGAGUGAUGAAGGCCUUAGGGUUGUAAAGCUCUUUUACCCGGGAUGAUAAUGACAGUACCGGGAGAAUAAGCUCCGGCUAACUCCGUGCCAGCAGCCGCGGUAAUACGGAGGGAGCUAGCGUUAUUCGGAAUUACUGGGCGUAAAGCGCACGUAGGCGGCUUUGUAAGUUAGAGGUGAAAGCCUGGAGCUCAACUCCAGAAUUGCCUUUAAGACUGCAUCGCUUGAAUCCAGGAGAGGU